AUUGAACGCUAGCGGGAUGCCUUACACAUGCAAGUCGAACGGAGUGGCGAACGGGUGAGUAAUGCAUCGGAAUCUGCCCAGUAGCGGGGGAUAACUACGGGAAAGCGUAGCUAAUACCGCAUACUAUUGGAUCAGCCGAUGUCGGAUUAGCUAGUUGGUGGGGUAAAGGCCAACCAAGGCGACGAUCCGUACCUGGUUUGAGAGGACGACCAGCCACACGGGGACUGAGACACGGCCCAGACUCCUACGGGAGGCAGCAGUGGGGAAUAUUGGACAAUGGGAGAAAGCCUGAUCCAGCCAUCCCGCGUGUGUGAUGAAGGCCUUCGGGUUGUAAAGCACUUUUGGCAGGAAAGCGGUACCUGCAGAAUAAGCACCGGCUAACUACGUGCCAGCAGCCGCGGUAAUUC
This 407-nucleotide ribosomal RNA is filed under the name uncultured bacterium. RNAcentral's name for it is "partial 16S ribosomal RNA". It matches the Rfam family "Bacterial small subunit ribosomal RNA", at positions 30 to 526 of the family's 1533-position model. The record is from RNAcentral.